RNAcentral lists this ribosomal RNA (479 nucleotides) under uncultured bacterium. RNAcentral's name for it is "bacterial SSU rRNA". It matches the Rfam family "Bacterial small subunit ribosomal RNA", at positions 28 to 490 of the family's 1533-position model. The record is from RNAcentral.
GAUAAACGCUGGCGGCGCACAUAAGACAUGCAAGUCGAACGGAAGUCGUUAUAAAAGGAGAGAAGAUUUGUCGGAUUGAAUUUUAUAACAAUGGCUUUAGUGGCGGACUGGUGAGUAACGCGUAAGGAACCUACCUAUUAGAGGGGAACAACAAUGAGAAAUCAUUGCUAAUACCGCAUAUGCCAUAACUACCGCAUGGUAGAAGUGGGAAAGGAGUAAUCUGCUGAUAGAUGGCCUUGCGUCUGAUUAGUUAGUUGGUGGGGUAACGGCCUACCAAGACGACGAUCAGUAGCCGGACUGAGAGGUUGAACGGCCACAUUGGGACUGAGAUACGGCCCAGACUCCUACGGGAGGCAGCAGUCGGGAAUAUUGCGCAAUGGAGGAAACUCUGACGCAGUGACGCCGCGUGCAGGAAGAAGGUUUUCGGAUUGUAAACUGCUUUAGACAGGGAAGAGAAAGGACAGUACCUGUAGAAUAAG